UAAUAGUAGUUUGAAUGAAUUUAUUCCUACCUUCAACUUUAAAGAGCAAGAGGACAGUGAAGCUGAUUCAAGAAACAGGCAAUGCCACAAAGGAAGAAAACAAGCCUGUAAGAUGAAAUACUUCUACCUGGUUAAUAAAUACAGAAAUCGAUUCUUCCUCCAUUGAAGUCUAUCUUUUCCAAUGGGACCAAUCCACAUGCAGAUGCAAAGGCACUCAUGUUUGCUCAACAUGUAGAAACAAGAAAAUCACACAGAGCAAGAGUGACAGAAAUGUAAGAUGCUAUGGAAUUAUAAAAGAAUCAUGUUUGACUAAGAUGUUGUAAAUGAACUUCUUGUAACAAAAAAGCCAUUUGAACACAAAUUACUGAGCAUCACUGGUCGGAGAGAUCAUUUAUCACUUCUUAAUAAAUGAUCAGACAAUGACCUCAAACCUACCUUUAUUGAGGUGAAGUUGAAACUAAUCUGCACACAUGUAAUAUGUAGAAUGAGUUAACUUCACCAUCGAGACAAUGAAGAUAUUCACAGCCUUCAACAGAUUUGGAUGCCCCUUGGUAAUCCCUUCUAUCUGUCCAUGUUCUCCAACCUCCCCAAAUUCCAGAUAAACAAUUAUCUACUUUCUAUGACUAUGGAUUAGUUUGCUUUGAUGUUUGUAUCAAAAUAGAAACAAAGGUAUUGAUCACUGGUUACGUUCACUGUUUUUUGUUUGUUUGUUUUGUUUUGUUUUGUUUUUGAGACAGAGUAUCACUGUCACCUAGGCUGGAGUGCAGUGGCAAGAUCAUAUCUCACUGCAACCUGGAACUCCUAGACUCAAGUGGUCCUCCUGCCUCAGCCUCUGGAGUUACCAGGACUACAGGAAUGUGCCACCAUGUCCAGCUAAUUUAUUAUUAUUUGUUUAACGAUGGAGUCUCACUAUAGUGCCCAAGCUCUUCUAAUACUCCUGGGAGCAAAUAAUCCUCUUGUCCUGGCAUUCCAAAACUCUAGGACCACAGGCAUAAACCACCACACAUGGCCGUUUGUUUUUAAAGAUGAAAGUAAUUAGAGUAGCGGUUUUUAAAGUCUGCUUCCUGUACCAACAGCAUAAGCACCACUUGGGAACUUGCUGUCAAUACAGAUUCUUGAGACUCACACCAAAGUUACUGAAUUAGAAAUCCUGCUAUCGUCUGGGCUGAUCUAGAUUAGAAAUAUCUAUCAAUACCAAUUCCAUUCAGAUUAUUUUAAAAGUGGUAGGUAUUGCAUAUUUAAUCUUGUUUUUUCUUAUUUGAAUUACAUUUUAAGCUAACAAUGAAAGAGAAGUUAAUCAUUAUAUAAAUAUUUUAACCAUCAAAUAAAGAAUGAUAGGAUUAGAAUUUCAUCAUUUUGCAACCCAUGAUGAAACACAUGUAAUAAGCAAUGGUCAUCAAUUUAGCAAGGAAAUGUUAAGACCAAAAAGCGAGAUAAAUAAAGAUCCUGGCUCUCUUGUAAAAUAGAAAACAACAUGUAUAAAGUAUUCAACAAUAUCCAGAAUUAGAUAUAUUACUUACAUAUACUUAUAAGUGCAGAAUAAACUACCCCAAAACUUAUUGGCUUUAAAUGACCAUAAUCAAUUAUUAGGUCUCACGAAUCUAAGAGUUAUGUCAGACAGGGCACUGCACACACUCUUUGUUUCUGCUCCACACAGCUGAGUCUUCAGGAGGAAGAUUUGAAGGACAGGGCUGAAAUUAUCUGAAGGCUUAUUUAUUCACAUGUCUAGUGGCUGAUAUUGGUUGUCAGCUGAGGCUCUAAGUGGGCUGUCAACCAAAAUAUCUACGUGCUGGCAUUCCCAUGUGUCUUGUCCUCCGCCAAACAUGAUGAUGGUGGUUGGGUUCCAACAUCAACAUUUGGGGAAAAAGAGCAAGAGAGUCAGGUCAAAAUGGUAUCUUUUUUGAGCUAGUCAUGGACAUUGCAUAGCAUCACAUUUACUAUACUGCAUUAUUCAGAACAGUCACAACCCUUGCCCAAAUUUAAUGGGAGAAACAAACUACACCUCACAGUGAGAUUGCAAAACAUUGUAAAAUGGGUGUGCUCAAUGGCAUAAACAUACAGGUGUGGCCAGUUUGGGAACAUCUAAAUUACUUAAAUGACAAAACUGUAAUAGGAGAAAUGAGAUUUUCCAAUCCCUUCCACAAAUAAAUUUGAAGAAAAAAAUAAGAGACGGAAGGGAAACUACCAAAUCGAGGAUAACUUAAGAGGUGUAUCAAUUAAUUGUGAUCUAUAGACCAUCUUGGAAUUUUUAUUAAAACAAGCUGCAUCAAAAGUUGGAGAAAAUUGGGGUAAUUUGAACAAAGGCAGAAUAUUUGGCGAUGUUAAAAAAUUGUUAUUUUUGUUUAGUAAUAGUGUUAUUUUUUUUAUUUUUGAGAGUCUAUAACUUAGAGUUACAUACUAGAUUAUAAAUGAAUAACAUAAUUUGUGUUCUGCAAUUUGAUUGAUGAUAAUCGGUGACCGAAAGAAUGUGGGUGUAUCAAUGUGAUUAAGUUAGAUCACAAUUUAAUAAUUAUUAAUUUCUGAAUUGGGUUAAUGGGUGCC
RNAcentral lists this long non-coding RNA (2541 nucleotides) under Homo sapiens (human). RNAcentral's name for it is "HSALNT0142204". The record is from RNAcentral. Lineage: Eukaryota; Metazoa; Chordata; Mammalia; Primates; Hominidae.